halophilic archaeon J07HX64 is the source of this 3606-nucleotide non-coding RNA. NCBI's taxonomy places the organism in Archaea, Methanobacteriati, Methanobacteriota, Halobacteria, Halobacteriales. The record is from Rfam.
ACUCAGUGGCUGCUAUGCCGCCUGGUGAAUGGCUCGGCUCGGAAGCCGAUGAAGGACGUGCCAAGCUGCGAUAAGCUCGAGGGACCCGCAAGGAGGGGAAGAACUCGAGAUAUCCGAAUGGGAAUCCCCACCGCAAUUGCUUCGCGCAAUGGGGAACGCCCCGAACUGAAACAUCUUAGUAGGGGCAGGAAGAGAAAGCGCAAUGCGAUGUCGUUACUAACUGCGGGUGAACGCGACACAGCCCAAACCGAAGCUCUCACGAGCAAUGUGGUGCACGGGCUGACAAUAAUCGUCCGAACGCCGUCGUGAAGUCCCCUGAAAUGGGGCGCGAAACAGGGUGACAGCCCCGUAUCGACGACAAGUACGACGUGUGUCAGUUCCAGAGUAGCGUGGGUUGGAAAUCCUACGUGAACAUGGCAGGCAUCGACUGCCAAGGCUAAACACUCUCCGAGACCGAUAGUGAACAAGUAGCGCGAGCGAACGCUGAAAAGUACCCUCCAACGGGAGGUGAAAUAGGGCCUGAAAUCAGGUGGCGAUCGAGCGAUGGGGCACAAAAGGUCCCGUGGAAAACGACAGUAGCGCGAGCUACCAGUAGGACCCACGGGAAGCCGCUGUUCCAUCGUACGUUUUGAAAAACGGACCAGGGAGUGUGUUUGCAUGGCGAGCCUAACCCGUCUACCGGGGGAGGCACAGGGAAACCAACAUGGCCGCAACGCUUUGCGUGAGGGCCGCCGUGUUCAAGCGCGGGGAGUCAUGCGGACACGACCCGAAUCCGGACGAUCUAUGCGUGGGCAAGGUGAAGCAUGGCGAAAGCCAUGUGGAAGCCUGUUAGGGCUGGUGUCUUACAAUACCCUCCCGUGACCUGCGCAUAGGGGUGAAAGGCCCAUCGAGUCCGGCAACAGCUGGUUCCGACCGAAACAUGUCGAAGCAUGACCUCCGCCGAGGUAGUCUGUGAGGUAGAGUGACUGAUUAUCGUGUCCGCCCUCGAGAGAGGUCGGCUCGGUUGUCAAACUCCGAACUCACAGACGCUGUCGACGCGGGGAGUCCGGUGCGCGGGGUAAGCCUGUGUACCAUAAGGGAGACAACCCAGCGCCGGGUUAAGGUCCCAAAGUGUGGAUUAAGUGCAAUCGAAGGUGGUCCCGAGCCCCAGACAGCCGGGAGGUGAGCUUAGAAGCAGCUACCCUCUAAGAAAAGCGUAAUAGCUUACCGGCCGAGGUUCGGGGCGCCCAAAAUUAUCGGGGCUCAAAUCCACCACCGAAACCUGGCCAUGCCCGUGACAGGGCAGUUGCGUAGGUCGGCGCUCCGCGUGGGCGGAAGCACGGGCGAGAGCUCGCGUGGACCACGCGGAGACGAAAAUCCUGGUCGUAGUAGCAGCGAAAGUCGGGUGUGAAUCCCGACGGCCGAAAGAGCAAGGGUUCCUCGGCACUGUUCGUCAACCGAGGGUUAGCCGGUCCUAAGAGACAUCGCAACUCGAAUGUCUCAAAAGGGAAACUGGUUAAUAUUCCAGUGCCAUCAUACAACAGAAGCCAACGCCCCGGGGUCGACCGAACCGGGCACUCGCCCGGUCGAACUGUCCAAGUUCGUGGAAGCCGUAACGGCACGAAGCGGACGAACGGCAGGAUAGCGAAAGUCGGUUCAACCUGGGGCCCGUGAAAAGGCGAGUAUGAUGUCCGUACCGAGAUCCGACACAGGUGCCCAUGGCGGCGAAAGCCUAGGCCUGUCGGGAACAACCGACGUUAGGGAAUUCGGCAAGUUAGUCCCGUACCUUCGGAAGAAGGGAUGCCUGCUCGGGAAACGAGCAGGUCGCAGUGACUCGGACGCUCCGACUGUCUAAUAACAACAUAGGUGACCGCAAAUCCGCAAGGACUCGUACGGUCACUGAAUCCUGCCCAGUGCGGGUAUCUGAACACCUAGUACAAUAGGACGAAGGACCCGUUAACGGCGGGGGUAACUAUGACCCUCUUAAGGUAACAAUCGUUGCCUUAGUAAAAUUCGGCUAUAUGCUGGAACAUCUGGUUAGUAUCCCACGCUACCAGUAGAACAAAGUAACACUGGUUCUACGGUAACAAUGCGAUGGAUGCAGACAACCAGCAGGAAAGUCUAGAUUCGGAUUGGAUAACCGGGUUUGUGGAUGGAGAAGGUUGCUUCUACGUUGGAAUCAAUCGGAUUGAGAAAAUGAGCUUGGGAUGGCAAGUCCUUCCCGAGUUCAGGGUGACACAACACGAACGCGACGUGGUGUUGCUCGAACGAAUCCGAGACGAUUUCGGCUUUGGAAGUGUCCGACCAAAUCAUGGAGACCGGAUGGACUACCGUGUUCGUGGACUGGACAACCUCAACGAGGUUGUCGAGUUCUUCGAGCGCCAUCCGCUCCAAUCGAAAAAACGGUCCGACUUCGAAACCUUUGCAGAGAUCAUCGAGAUGAUGAACGACGACCUCCAUCUCACGAAAUCCGGAUUAGACCGAAUCGCUCGCCUCGCUUCAACGAUGAACGAGGGAGUGACCCGAUCCUAUCUAGAAUCCUCAGAGACCGUAUGCCGAACACCCGAUUCCGGGUGAAGAGACGGCCCGAUCUUCACGGCGACGUGGAGAGACUGGCUCACGCCAGUCCGCCCCAUCCGGGGUCAGUACCCAUCGCGGGGAAAGUAACAGCAUGAGCGUAGUACCUUGCCGCUUUAGUAGCGGCUUGCAUGAAUGGAUGAACGAGAGCGUCACUGUCCCAACGUUGGGCCCGGUGAACCGUACUUUCCAGUGCGGAGUCUGGAGACUCCCAGGGGGAAGCGAAGACCCUAUGGAGCUUUACUGCAAGCUGUCGCUGAGACGUGGUCGCUGAUGUGCAGGGUAGGUAGGAGUCGUUACCGAGGCCCGUGCGCCAGCACGGCGCCCAGACACACAUGAAACACUACCCGUCAGUGACUGCGACUCUCACUCCGGGAGGAGUACACCGGUAGCUGGGCAGUUUGACUGGGGCGGUACGCGCUUGAAAAGAUAUCGAGCGCGCCCCAAGGCCAUCUCAGCCGAGUCGGAAACUCGGCGUAGAGCGCAAGAGCAAAAGAUGGCUUGACAGUGUUCUUCCCAACGAGGAACGCUGACGCGAAAGCGUGGUCUAGCGAACUUAUCAGCCCGCUUGAUGCGGGCGAUAAAUGACAGAAAAGCUACCCUAGGGAUAACAGAGUCGUCACCCGCAAGAGCACAUAUCGACCGGGUGGCUUGCUACCUCGAUGUCGGUUCCCUCCAUCCUGCCCGUGCAGAAGCGGGCAAGGGUGAGGUUGUUCGCCUAUUAAAGGAGGUCGUGAGCUGGGUUUAGACCGUCGUGAGACAGGUCGGCUGCUAUCUACUGGGAGUGUUUUGGUGCCUGACGGGAACGCCCGUAUAGUACGAGAGGAACUACGGGUGGUGGCCACUGGUGUACCGGUCGUCCGGAAGGGCGUUGCCGGGCAGCUACGCCACACGGGGUAACGGCUGAACGCAUCUAAGCCGGAAACCCACCUGGAAAAGAGGCACCGCUUUAGACCACUCGUACAAGACGAGGUCGAUAGACUCGGGGUGUACGUACCGAGGCAACGAGGUAUUCAGCCCGCGAGCACUAAUUGGUCGAAGCCACCAAUC